CAGUAGCCGCGGUAAUACGAAGGGUGCAAGCGUUAAUCGGAAUUACUGGGCGUAAAGCGUGCGUAGGCGGUUUGUUAAGUCAGAUGUGAAAUCCCCGAGCUUAACUUGGGAACUGCAUUUGAAACUGGCAAGCUAGAGUCUUGUAGGGGGGGGUAGAAUUCCAGGUGUAGCGGUGAAAUGCGUAGAGAUCUGGAGGAAUACCGGUGGCGAAGGCGGCCCCCUGGACAAAGACUGACGCUCAGGUGCGAAAGCGUGGGGAGCAAACAGGAUUAGAUACCCGCGUAGUCCCUGUCUCUUACAC
This 301-nucleotide ribosomal RNA is filed under the name uncultured bacterium. Its description in RNAcentral is "partial 16S ribosomal RNA". It matches the Rfam family "Bacterial small subunit ribosomal RNA", at positions 509 to 809 of the family's 1533-position model. The record is from RNAcentral.